Long non-coding RNA from Rhododendron vialii, 449 nucleotides. RefSeq lists it as uncharacterized. The record is from RefSeq and is a predicted model, not a curated record. The transcript has 2 exons. NCBI's taxonomy places the organism in Eukaryota, Viridiplantae, Streptophyta, Magnoliopsida, Ericales, Ericaceae.
GACCCAGAAUUCUGGGUUAUGUUUCCCUAAUUAUUCUAAAACGAAAAAAAGCAAAUUCUUCUUCUUCUUCUUCUCUCUCUCUCUCUCCCCAGCACUUUGCGGUGAUCCGAUGAUGGGCAAACAUAAUCGACGGCGAUGAAGCAGGGGAACAGGUCAACAACAAGGCACAAAUCGACGACGACGGCAGGGUGGCAGUGAUAGAUAGCAGUGCAGCGAGAAAUAGACCUACAGUGGAUCUGAUGAUAUCGCGAAGGGGGACGGUGGCGGUGGUGGGGUGGCUUUAUCUGCGUCUAGAGAAAGAAAGAGGAAAAAGGUUUUGCAGCUUCAAAACCAUCCCCCAUUGCUUCCGUAGAACCGGCAACAUUUAUAUCGGCAGCCCGUUUGUUAUGACUAUGAGGAUAAAAACAGGAAAACACAAUCAAUAGAUAUUAGUAUCUGAGUUCUCUGUC